Molecule: transfer RNA, 72 nt
Filed under: bacterium
Lineage: Bacteria
Description: tRNA-His
Rfam family: tRNA
About the family: Transfer RNA (tRNA) molecules are approximately 80 nucleotides in length.
Source: RNAcentral
CGCUGGUGUAGUGUAAUGGCAGCACAUCAGGUUGUGGACCUGGGGGUGUGGGUUCGAGUCCCACCAUCACGA